AACGGAGCUGCUUUGAUGAAGUUUUCGGAUGGAUUUAAAACAGCUUAGUGGCGGACGGGUGAGUAACGCGUGGGUAACCUGCCUCAUACAGGGGGAUAACAGUUAGAAAUGACUGCUAAUACCGCAUAAGACCACGGUACCGCAUGGUACAGUGGUAAAAACUCCGGUGGUGUGAGAUGGACCCGCGUCUGAUUAACCAGUUGGCGGGGUAACGGCCCACCAAAGCGACGAUCAGUAGCCGGCCUGAGAGGGUGAACGGCCACAUUGGGACUGAGACACGGCCCAAACUCC
This 291-nucleotide ribosomal RNA is filed under the name uncultured Lachnospiraceae bacterium. Its description in RNAcentral is "partial 16S ribosomal RNA". It matches the Rfam family "Bacterial small subunit ribosomal RNA", at positions 65 to 339 of the family's 1533-position model. Lineage: Bacteria; Bacillati; Bacillota; Clostridia; Lachnospirales; Lachnospiraceae. The record is from RNAcentral.